This 1468-nucleotide ribosomal RNA is filed under the name metagenome. RNAcentral describes it as "bacterial SSU rRNA". It matches the Rfam family "Bacterial small subunit ribosomal RNA". The record is from RNAcentral.
AGAGUUUGAUCCUGGCUCAGGAUAAACGCUGGCGGCGUGCCUAACACAUGCAAGUCGGACGAAGAGGCCCCUUCGGGGGUACUUCAGUGGCGAACGGGUGAGUAACACGUAGGUGACCUGCCCCGAAGCAGGGGAUAACGGUUCGAAAGAGCCGCUAAUACCCAAAAAGGUUGUGUGUCAAAACAUGAUCAGAGUAUCUCCUCUUUGAGGAGACGCGUUUCGGGAGGGGCCUGCGGCCCAUCAGCUAGUUGGUAGGGUAACGGCUUACCAAGGCUAUGACGGGUAGGGGGCCUGAGAGGGCGACCCCCCACACUGGCACUGACACACGGGCCAGACUCCUACGGGAGGCAGCAGUGAGGAAUAUUGCACAAUGGGCGAAAGCCUGAUGCAGCAACGCCGCGUGGGUGAUGAAGGCCUUCGGGUCGUAAAACCCUUUUUCUGGGGAAAGAGAAAGGACGGUACCCCAGGAAUAAGGUUCGGCUAACUACGUGCCAGCAGCCGCGGUAAAAUGUAGGAACCGAGCGUUAUCCGGAUUCACUGGGCGUAAAGCGCCUGCAGGCGGUCCUGUAAGUUGGACGUGAAAUCUCCCGGCUUAUCUGGGAGGCGCCGUUCAAUACUGCAGGACUUGAGGGCAGAAGAGGGAAGUGGAAUUCCCGGUGUAGUGGUGAAAUGCGUAGAUAUCGGGAGGAACACCAGUGGCGAAGGCGGCUUCCUGGUCUGCACCUGACGCUAAGAGGCGAAAGCUAGGGGAGCGAACGGGAUUAGAAACCCCGGUAGUCCUAGCCGUAAACGAUGGACGCUAGGUGUAGGUGGUCCUAACCCCAUCUGUGCCGAAGCUAACGCGUUAAGCGUCCCGCCUGGGGACUACGGCCGCAAGGCUAAAACUCAAAGGAAUUGACGGGGACCCGCACAAGCAGCGGAGCGUGUGGUUUAAUUCGAUCUACACGAAGAACCUUACCCGGGUUUGCAUGCAGGUAGUAGUGAAGCGAAAGUGGAACGACCCUUCGGGGAGCCUGCACAGGUGCUGCAUGGCUGUCGUCAGCUCGUGCCGUGAGGUGUUGGGUUAAGUCCCCUAACGAGCGCAACCCUUGCCGUCAGUUAUACGUGUCUGGCGGGACUGCCGGUUUAAAACCGGAGGAAGGUGGGGAUGACGUCAAGUCAGCAUGGCCUUUAUGUCCGGGGCUACACACACGCUACAAUGGCCGGUACAAUGGGUCGCCAACCCGCGAGGGGGAGCCAAUCCCACAAAGCCGGUCUCAGUUCGGAUUGGAGGCUGCAACCCGCCUCCAUGAAGCUGGAGUUGCUAGUAAACGCGCGUCAGCUAUAGUGCGUUGAAUACGUUCCCGGGUCUUGUACACACCGCCCGUCACGUCAUGGGAGCUGGCAACACCUGAAGCCAGUGGGCUAACCGAAAGGGGGCAGCUGUCGAAGGUGGGGCUGGUGACUGGGACGAAGUCGUAACAAGGUA